RNAcentral lists this ribosomal RNA (484 nucleotides) under uncultured bacterium. RNAcentral describes it as "partial 16S ribosomal RNA". It matches the Rfam family "Bacterial small subunit ribosomal RNA", at positions 29 to 507 of the family's 1533-position model. The record is from RNAcentral.
AUUGAACGCUGGCGGCAUGCUUUACACAUGCAAGUCGAACGGCAGCGCGGGCUUCGGCCUGGGGGUGAGUGGCGGACGGGUGAGUAAUACAUCGGAAACUGCCCAGUAGUGGGGGAUAGCUUGGCGAAAGCCGGAUUAAUACCGCAUACGACCUGAGGGGGAAAGCGGGGGAUCUUCGGACCUCGCGCUGUCCGAGCGGCCGAUGGCAGAUUAGCUAGUUGGUGGGGUAAAGGCCUACCAAGGCGACGAUCUGUAGCUGGUCUGAGAGGACGACCAGUCACACUGGGACUGAGACACGGCCCAGACUCCUACGGGAGGCAGCAGUGGGGAAUUUUGGACAAUGGGCGAAAGCCUGAUCCAGCAAUGCCGCGUGUGUGAUGAAGGCCUUCGGGUUGUAAAGCACUUUUGGCGGGAAGGAAAAGUACUGUGCUAAUACCACGGUUCGAUGACGGUACCCGCAGAAUAAGCACCGGCUAACUACGUG